GGGCAGGCUGCGCAUCACUCUUAAACCCACAAACUGGUGGAUUUCCUGCACCAGCAUUUCAGCACACGUUGGUAGCUCUUCUGCACUGUUUCGCAUACAUAAAUAGAGCGCAUCAAAGUAUUAUUUCUACACGGUGAUUGCUUGGCCUCUGACUGCCACUUGUGCAAACUGUUCUCAUUUUAGAAAGAAAAGAGGCUUUCUUCGAUCGCAGAACUCCAUUCAAUAUCAUUUCCCUGCAAUUUCAGCACGUGCAGGGGGUUACACGAAAGGCAAGGCUUCCUCACAGCUAUUACAUUCAACUGUUCCAACUACAGGAUUUGAUAAUGUUACGAAAAUGGUGCUUAUGCUUUGGGAAGUGCUCUGACUGCAGGAUGUCCGCUCUUCGGGACGAAGCAGCUCACUGAUGCAUUGCAAACACACUCACGCCUGGUUUGCUUUAGUUGAACCGAGAUGAAUGAGAGUCAUAACAGUAGUGUAACCAUGAAGCAGGUCAUCCUUUACAUCAUUACAUUCUCUUAAUACGAAAUUCCCAGUAACUAUCCGAUCACAUCCUAUUUCCCCGUGUCCGAAAAAGCCAAAUAGGGGAACACUUGGAAAAAACUUCCUAAAGGCAUCUGCUUCCAUAUUCCGUUUGGUUUUAUAGUGCCGAUAUCCUCGGCCAACACACGCGAACAUGAAGCCAAUGGUGUUACACUCGGGGAUGUUUGCUGCUUUCAGACGCUGCAUGGCGGCUUCUGCUGUCCUCUCAUCAGCGACGUCCUGGUCUAACAAAACCGUGGCACUCUGGAUCUGGGGCCCGCUGAAAGCCAGCCCAACCACCCCACAGGCAUCGCUGGGCUGGGCGUUAUUAUUCUCAGAGAUCAGCGAUGUAAAGCUCUCCACUUGUCCCCCAGCUAGGAUGAUACUUUUUUCAUUCAAAGGAUUGACUAUUUGAUGAAGAAAACGAGUAGCUCCAGACUUCCAGGAGUUGUAGCCGAACAGAAGAACCACACGAAGAUCUGGAUUAUUCUUCAGGCCUGCUUCAGCAAAUUUGUUUUCGUCAAUGACCCUAUUCUUUACUUCUUUAGGAAAAUGGAAGGUUUGGAUUUUAACUCCAUCAAUUUUGGGAAACAAAAGAGCAAACCCAGCUUCACCAUCUUCAAUUUCUUGAGGUUGGUUGCUGCUUGAACCCAUAGGGGUAACUACGAUCCCCGGGGUGAGCAGUCCAAGGACCUGACAUCGCUUUGGCAACAGUUUCUCAAUCGCAAUGGCUGUUUCUUUACUGUUUCUUUUUCUGGCUUUCUUGUGCUCGUGGCACUCCUCGUGCCCGCUGAACGUCUCCGCGUCGGCGAUGUAGAGCACGGUCUGGGGCAGCACGUGCACCCUCUCGAGCUCUCGGGCCAAGGCCUGCACCAGCGUGUGUCCGCCAGGCGGGCCGGGUUCCAGUGCCGACACCCAAGCGAGGCGCUGCCGCGUGCGCAGGAUCCGCCGCGCGCACUCCCUCCACAGCCGGCACACGCAGGCGGCGCGCAGCAGCGCUUUAGUGGGCAGGAAGCCGAGCACGCGCUCCACCACCUCGGCCAGGUUGCCGAGGACGAGGCCGCCCUUCCCCGGCGCCUCCAUGGCCGCGGAGCCGCGCCCUUCCCCGCCGCCUGACGCGACGCCGACACCUCCCGCCGCCGACGCGCUUCCGGUUCCGGCGGCGGCACUUCCGCCCGCAUCCCUUCCGGCCCCGCCCCGGAAGCGGCACGGCACAGCGGUUCUCAAAACGGCCUUUAUUCGUCAACUUGAUGCAAGUUUACAAUUCGCGGCGCGGCGCGCUCGCCGGCCAAGAAGGGGGGAAGCGGCGUCGGCCUCGGGCCCGGGGCGGCGGCUGCAGGCGCAGCCCGGCCGCGAGGGCGCAGCCGGAGGGGCUCGGCGAGGCGGGACGCACCCUCGGCCCCGGGAUCGCCACGGGAGGCGCCGCCCGGCCCGGCCACGGCGCGCGUCCGGUCCUUCCGCUGCGGCGCUGCUCCACGUCGGGGUGCCGGAGCGGAGCUUCUGCGGCAAAGAAUUCGUUCCCGGACUUCCGCCUCGCCUGGUGCCACUCACUCGCUUUAUCAGUUCGUUAGUUUACAAAUGAUUGCAACAACCCGUUAAUAAAAUGGAACGCCUACAAAGGUUUUUUAGUAAAUAACUUCGAGCCUCGGCCCGCGGCCGUGCGGCUGCAGCAGAGGGAGCCGCCCGCAGCAGCGGAGCACGGCCGGAGCUGAGCGGCUGCGGCUGCAGCGGCACCGCCUGCACUGCUUAAAGGAGAGAAGGAGGGCAAAACCGUCUGACCAUGAGCAUCUCUUCCAAGAAAUAGUUCGUAUUCUCAUCCAGCCAUGAAAAUGUUUAAUGACUUAACAUACAUGUGCUUUUCCUAUAUCAUUAAUUUGGAAAUACUACAAACGCUGUCAUUUUAGACCAGAAAAACUACUGUGAUUUGCAAGGUCUGACAUUUCCUAUAACAGUAUUAAACAACAUAUUAAACCUCCUGACUUUAAAUGAAACGACACAACUCAAGUCUCGGCGCUCUGCAUCCUGCAAAAGGUAAGAAAUGCGCAGAAGAAGUGCGUGACCAACUCCUGCUGAACGCCCCCGGGGAACGCAGCAGCCCAGUGCAGCAUUACACUUCCAACUUAAAAAAGGGAGAAGGGAAGGAGUGGCCCAAAUAUGCUUAAUCCAUGAAGAACAAAUACAGCAAAGGCCCAGACUGCUCAGUUCAAGAUGCCUAAGAAGAGCGGAAUGGUAAGGCUGCAACUUAUACUUGACGUGUCAGUUGACAGAUUAUCCACUAACUUAUCUAAUAGCUAAAGUCUUCAGUACGGCUGUUAUAGGGGCACUCAUAGCUCGAGUCUCUGUGUUGGAAAACAUUAAAAAGAGCUCUUUUUGUUGGCAUUGGUCCAGGUAUACAACAGUCCUCAGUAUUAACCGUCUUCUUUUGGAGGAGUGUACCAGCCUAUGGAGAACAGAGAAACGCAUUAGGCACUGCCCUGGCUCCGCUCAGAGGAGCUUACCAGCUGCCUUCUGAAUGGGUGGCAGAAAUGUCAGGUGAGUAACUCUGGCUCCUGAUAGCAUUUGGCAUGUUGAAUCAUAUCGGAUCAAGUGUACGUGGCCUUUUCUGACCACCUCCAGAUCUCCAAUCUCAAGUCUCCCAGCCACUAUGGUAAAAAUUCCUCUCAGUUUUAGUACAGUGAGUAGAGGCCCUACAUAUGUCGUCCCAGAGAACUGGUAGCAGCAGUAAGUUAACAAAGAUGCCUUUUGCAGCAGCAAUAAAUGCUGUGAAUGUUUUGUGUACAGCUCCUGUUGCAGCAGCAAACACUGUAGUCAUGGCCAGCAUGUGGCUAGAAGUCAAUGGCCAUGGUGGCUUUUGUUGCAAACUAAAAAAGCAAGAGACUCAGUUAAUGGCAAGACCAACAUGUCAAGAAAUUGGAAAGCAUUUUAAAAUCUUCCUCUGUGACCUUCUUCCUAACAGUCCAGAAGGCAUUAGGUUUGUUUUAGAAGUGGGAAAACCGAGGUGCUCAUCACACCAGAAUAUGCUCGCGUCACGUUCACAGCAACAGGAGUUCCCAAAGGACGCUGUGCAUCUCUGAAGUCAGAACUGGGACUAAUUCCCUCAUCAGGAGAGCAGGACACCAACUCUGUUGAUUGCUUUUGUACGGCAUAUAACUCACUCAAACUAUCUAAAGCCUCAGGUCAUUUCUGGCCUUCUCAUCCUGCCACAACAAAUGCAACUAUACCUCAAGCAUGUUAAUAUUUGCUUUAAGCAGCCACGAGAACAUUAACUAGCUUUAAAUAGAAGAAAAAAAUCCAUCUCCCAUUCCCCAGGCAGUGCACCUCAGUUGGGCUUUUUCUAUCUUUUGAAGAAAUGGAAAGACAGACCAGCAACCAUCUUCUUUAAUGGCUACUAUUUCUCAGCCCAUGCCACACAGAACCAAAGAGGCAGACAACCUUCCAUCCAGCACUUCAAUAACACAUAGACAUUCCAACAGCUACAGCAACAACAAAGCUACUAGGUCUACUAGUUGAAAAGGAAGCUCAACUACUUUUUGAAAAGCAAUAAGAACAUCAGGACAUCAUUACUUCCAUGUAAGCUGGAGAAGUUGCAAAGAUGGUCAGUCAAGUUAUUCUAAUUAGAAAGACUACAGCGCUUAAAGAUGAGAAGCAGAAACACCAUCUCCAGCCUUCCCAACCCAACCUAUGGCAUUCCAGCACUUCAAGUUUCAUUGCUGCCAAAUAUCAAAAUCCUAGGAUGCUCUGCAUACAAGAACAAAAAUGCAAGGCAUACAUACCAUUUUUCUCAUGUAUUUGUACUAGUGACUUAUAGGACUGCUGUGCUCUUGCUAGGUUAUAUUGAUUCUGAAAGGAAAAAAAUCCAAACAACUCUUGAAUCAGCACUUAAAACACCAGCAAGCGAGUCAUAAUUUCAUUGACAUAUUUACACCUCUUCUGAAAACAGCAUUUAGAACUUCAAAACAAGUUGCAGUCUGUUAACAACAUGCACACUUGAACUGAAUUAUGAUUUAGAUCAGUUCUGAGAGGCUCAAGUUUAAGAGUAUUUGCAAGGCAGUAUUUUUCAUUCUGUCAGGAAAACUGGCGGGUACUUAGUCCAGCCAAGGAGAACUUCUUAACAUCAGCAUAUGCAAACCUGGCAGCAAGGCUAUCCGUAGCCCUUCUCAGAGCCAGGAUUCCCAAAUCUUUCUGAUUUCCAAUUCUGAAUUCACCCUUCGCUCCCCCAGGUACAUGUCUGCUUAAAUACCCUGCCCAUCCAAAGCCUGGUCUCCUCAAACAUUUAUCUUUCUUUAAAAUCAUAGUUAACAGCCAAGAACAUAAUCACACCUGCACCAGACGUAUGUGACCGAGACAAAUCAAAAUGCAAAUAUAUUUGCAAUGACAAUUCUGUCAUGAAGCAUCUCCUACACAAGUCAGCAAAGGCAUGAAGAAGCUUAACAACAAUCUGUGUAAUUGAUAUACGCAGUGCAUUUACCUUAUUGGCUCCAAACUGAACUCUGGCUUUUCCUUUGACUAAAGUGGCAUUGAUCUGCAUGAUGACUGAUUCUAUUGAAUAGGCACUGCUCCAGCCCUGCAGGAGGAAGAAAAUAUAUGACAUAUACUUGCUUCUCGUGCUCAUUUUGCAAAUCUGCUUUGGAAUGCACGUUUUGUAGGGAAAUUAUUCCACAUAGGGAAUUAAAGCUACUACUGUCAAGUGCCUUUCUACUGAAAAAGGGCACACUUCACUGUUAUUUGUGGCACUUCUGUACUGAGAGGAAGCGUUGGUAUUCACCUGUUUGGUAAGAAGUUCCAUGCAUAAUGCACCUCCACCUAGGACAUAUCUAGAAAUAAAUGUGAGAAGAAGAUUAUAUAUAUAUAUAUAUAUUUCAUAUAUAAGAUAUGAAGCCAUUCACAGCACUUCAAGUUCUCCCAGGCCAAUUUGAUUUUAUUUUUUCAAGUACAACUGAGAUGCCCUUCAGCCAGUAAUAUACUAUGGCAACUAGUUAGCCAUAGCAUAGGGAAGAUCAAUUAGUGCAGUGAGACAAAAGAAACUGCUUUCCUUGGCCACAUACACAGUUAAAAUCAGCCAUGCAGCUAUUCUGCACAAUUGCUUACAUAGUAGCCAGACCGUGGAAGAGGAAUGCUGUUUUUUGUCACUACACUAUCGAUGUGCUGAUACAGUUAUAAAAAUAAUCCAAACCACUUCCGUUAGGGAUAUUGACACAAUCUCAAACAAUGUAAGUGCAACUAUUAACUAAGAUUUAGUUGCAAACGAGUUAAAGCUAAUCUUCACUUGCUCUUUUUCUCUAAAAUUAAAAAAAAAUUAAAUUCAAUUUCAAUAACACUUCAUCAUAAUCUGUGGUUAUAGAAUUCAGCAGUCAGCACAGCAUGCCUGGCUGUAACAAAACCUGACUGAGGGAGCUGAACUGACCACUCCUAAAAGGUGGUCUCUGCUAUGAUCAGUGCAUUUAAACGACGUCCAUUUAUACGUAAUUUAUAAGGAAAUAAAAAGAGCAAUUAAAACCAAAUCACAAUCAGCACCAGCUGUCAGAGGCUGCAUUGCAGGAGACACUGCACACAACAUUUCAACCAAGGUUUGGAUAACUUGAAGCAUAGCGCCAAUUAAAUUUAAUACUUUCAGAUUAGCAUUUGAGGAGUUUUUAGACAUAAGUUAUAGCGGUGUUACCAACACAUACAAGAAAGACCCCUUCAAAGCAACAACUCAAAACACACUGCUAUGUGGAACAACAGGAGAAGUAAGAUCAUGUUAGAAGUUUCAGAGAUCAGCUCUCAAGUAUUAGGGCUGAUGGAGACUUCCAAAGUUGGACCCAACUUAAGCAAUUCUAAGCUUAAAAUUCAAAUUAAGGAACUGCAUCAAGCUGGAAAAAGCACUCCGCUGUCUGCCCACUGUUAAUUUAUGCUACUUGAGAAGCACAUCAUCUUAUCACACUGAGCCUUUCACCAAACUCAAGGUCUAUAGGAGCUCAUGACUGAUAUUUUGGGAAAAUAAUUCCAAGUCCACCUGCUGGUCUCAAAACAUUCCCUGCAAACCCAGACAACCAAUCUCAAGUUAUAACAUUUUACCACAAAGUAAGAUUUCUAUAAAGCAACUCAAGCUUACCCUCCUGUGAGCACAGGAGAUACUACUCGCACAAAGGGAGGAUCAAACGGGAAGUUAUCCUGAAAUACAUAAACAAAGAACAGUUUAAGAACUAUACUGUGAUGCUGUUCUCCUAACCAGGAGCUAUUUCUGUAGCCUUAUUUGGCAAAUUAGAUUUAAAGCAGUAACAUUUUUCAGUUCUGUAAAAACCACUGUGCCACAGUGCUGGCCCACAAGCAGCCUUUGGGAAGUUUUAGUGCCACACUGAAAACCACAUUUUUUUUUUUCCUCCUUAAAUGUUACACUUCAAUCUUCACCCAGGUGACAGCCAAGGGUACCUUGUUAGUCAGUUUCUACAGUUGGCUACAAAUUUAACCCCUGCAUUUCUUCCCAUAGACACAUACCUUAAAAGAGAAGUUGAGUAAAAUGUAUUCUACACCUUCUUUUUCUUUUAAGACCUGAAGAUCACUAUGCAGAGGGCUGUCAGGAUCAACCCUAUAAGAGAGGCAGGGUGAAAUCCUGGAUUAAGUUAGUAUUUUCACUACCUGUAAAUAGCAAUCACUCUUAGCUCCUUCAUGUAUUUAUAGAUUACAAAUGGUAAUUUGAGUUAAACACAAGAAAAUGUUUGCUCCUUUGAGAAAGAAAACACUUUGCCCCGAGAUCUCCAUGAAAGCUUGUUGCAAUGAACUACGAUCCCACCACUAUCAAAUGUUAUUUCAACAUGGAUAGCAAAUAAAUAAGCCGUUUAUUUGAAAAUCAGUCAUUUUAACUCCCUUCAGCUCACUGGAAAUCUAUGUCCCAAGAGAAGAAAGUAUGUUAAGGGAAAGGCUGUAGUGAUCUGUUUUCAGCACAGUUAGCGAACCCUUCAUGAGUACGUGACUGCAGCUCUAUAUCACAUGUUAAACGUGAUCUGCAUCUGCCAAAGCACUGAAGUCAGCAGUAUCUGCUCUCAGCAGAAUUUCAUCACUUGUUGCAAAAUACUGGUGACAAGCACGCUGGGUGUUAAUUCAGACACUACUGGGUUUAUCCAACGCAAGCACUGCCACCCCAGAAGUUUUUAAAGAAACUAGUCAAAAGAAGACUGUAAACAAGACAACAGAUGAUGUUAAGGGGACUACAAGAGUCCAAUCCUCUACUACACGUGAAGCCACAAACUGGAGAACCCAUUUCAGAGUUACCCGAGCCCUACGUCCCCAUCUCACAAAUCAAAAGCUAUUUCAGAGAAAAAAAAUAUAAAUCUUUCAGUGCUGAGCAACCCAUCAAUUCCAGCCAUAACCAGCACCAGGCCAGUUCAGAAUUACUUGUUCUAGUAACAAUAAUGUUCUGUCUGCAAAAGGGUUAAUCUCUGUGACAUUUACACCCUCAACUGGUCUGCACACACAGGUCAUUUGUUUACAGACACUUUCUGCUGGAACAAAUAAACACAAUUCUUUGUCUUUGCAGAAUGGUUUGUCUUGGAAGAGAGAGCCCUUGAAGUCCACCCAGUUCCGCCCCCAGCUAUAUGGGCAGGGACAGCUCCCACUACUACCAGGUUGAGCAAGACCUUCAGCACCUCCAGGGAUGGGACACCUAAAGCUUUCCUGCGCAGCCUGUGCCAGUGCCUCAUCUCCUUCUGAGUAAAGAAUCCCUUCUCCAUGUCUAAUGUGCAUCCCCUCUCUUUCAGUUUAAAGCCAUUACCCAUUGCCCCGGAUCUCUUUUCUUAGCCAUUCUGGAAGUCAUCUCUUGCAUGCAUUCUAUUGCUUCUCCCUCCUCAGAAAACCAAACCUGCUCACAGUACUCAAAAAGAAAUUUCAUGCACUGCACAAUUAUUUGGCUGUCUAAGCAGUCAAUCACUAAGGCAUUCUGUAACAAGGGAAUGAUUACUCUUCCUGCUAGUUUCAGCUUCAGAAUGUUCAUAUGCUUCUGAUGACACUAAGAUGGAAAUACAACUCAGCAGCUGGUGACAAAGCUGUAGAGAUUUUACCACCAGGACAAGGCAACAAUUCCUAAAGGCACAUUAGCUAUUGUGCUGAUAAAACUUAAGUCUUUGUAUCUGUGCAUCACGAUGUAGCUGAACUGAAGGAAUUUUUCCCAACUCUUCACCUUUCACAGUCACCCAAUCUAGUUGCAUAGGCUCUUCCUUCCUACAGGUUACCUCGCAGGAUAAUGGCAGAUAAUCCUGUUACUGGGACUAAUUUCAGUAUAAUGCCUUUAGAAUUAAAGUAUUACACUUUGGACAUAGCAAUACAUGAGCUGUCAUUUUCUUCUAAAUUGGUGUGGAGAUCAUCCAGACCCAGUACAAACAAGUGAAAAGUAGCACAUUAGAAAAAACAAUCAUGUUGUAAGUCAUCAUUAUGUUAUGCCUCAAGAUUUCAGUCCUAUGUGCCUGCUAAACUAACCCCACUAGAACAGUUCUGUUCCUUCUUAUGUCUUAAAGGAAACGAGAACCUGCAUUUUAUUGAAAUUAAAAACAAACAAGUCCACCCAGACAAAACUUCUGGACAACUCAUUUCAUCAUUUGAGGUUUCAUAUUUUGGAGUAGCAUUGGAAGGAAGGUGAAACAGUAAUAAAAGUUAUGGUAAUACGCAGAGACUUGGCAGUGCAAGGAGUGUCUGGGUUUUUGGUUUUUUUUUUUUUUCAUUUUUAUUUGUUAUCAACUUAAUUACUAUAGUUCAAUAUCUGCAUGCAUCUCCAUCUAGCCAAGUUGUAGCCACACUAUUUUGUAGGUUCUGACUAGAGUUUCUCAUUCAAAACCAGAUUUUUUGCAGCAAUUUUAGUAGAUUCUUCAGAAAAAUGAAAGAAGUUUAAGAACUUACUUUAGAAGCUUAACAUGCCAUUCAUACAAGCUGUCAUUUACCAGUUCCACUGAAUAUAUCCCUGUUUUAUAGCUCUGUGAUCUAUAUAUAUCCCUGAGUUCCUUCAUAAGUCGAUCUGAAGCCUGAACUGACCCAGAGACUGCACCAUUUAAGUGAUCUUGCCUUUGAUUUUUUCUGAUUUUUUCUAAGAUUGCAAGGUUCUCUUUUUCAAUGCCUUCAUCCUCGGAUUUCUUCCCGUCAACUGGUUCCUCCUCCUUCAUAUCAUAGUGAUCCAGAUCUUCAAUGUCUUCACCCAUAUCUUCCUCCUCCUCCUCCUCCGAUGUAACUUCUUCCGUUGUUCCAUUCUGUCCAGCUGGUAAUGGCUGAUCUAACAUUUCAACAUCUGGAUGCUGAGGAAGAUUAUACAAUCUGCAGAGGUCACAUAUUAAUCGCUUCAGUUGCUGGAGAAGCAGUGUAUUGCUCUUCUUAAUGUCUUCUAAACGCUCCAAGACUGAAGUCAGGUUUGGGUCAUCUGAUUCUACAAACCAUAUUGGUGAUGAAGAGGGGUAAGAUUCCGUGAUGUUGCAGUGGAUGGUGAGCGGCGGCGGCGGCGGAGGGCCGGAGCCCGGCGGCGGCGGCAGGAGCACGAACUGGCAGUGCAGCUCGUCCAGCUUCCAGGAGACGAUGCGGAAGCGCUCGUGGUCCUUGUCGAAGAUGGACUCGAGGAACUUCAGCUCGGCCUUGAGCCCUGACACCGACAUCCUGGCCUCAUCUCCGGGCCCGGGCCUGCGCCGCCUCGCCUCGGCCCGGCCCUGGCCCCGGCCGCGCCUGCGGGGCGGAAGAUGGCGGAGGGCGGGGGCCCGGGGCAGCCCCAGCGGCGGGGGACGGCGAGCGCGGCGGGGGCCCUUCGUACGGCCUCCCGCACCCUGCGCUCUCUCGAAAGGGCGACGGCGCGGCUCGCUCCCCUUCCCGUUCCCCCUUCCCUUUCCUCGCGGCGGGCUGGGCCAGGCCGGGCCCGCCCCGCCCCGCCCUCCCCGCGCUAGGCCGGCCCCGCGGCCCGGGACGCACGCAGCGGGGCUGGCCGGGCCCGUCCCCGCUCCGCCCCGCGGCCGCCACCGCCCCCGGGCUCUGCCCCGGCCCGCCCCGCCUCCCGCUCCCCGCCAUCACGUACCUGCGCUCCCGCACCCCGCGCUCUGCGCGGUCCCGCCGUCUCCAGCCGCUCCGAGAAGUCAGCCGGCGUCACCCAGGAGCGCCCGUCCCGAUGGAUUCGUACGAACGGAACUCGAUGUCUUGCUGUGCAGGCUGGAAAGAAGCGAUAGAGGCCAAUUAAAAAAGAAAAAAAAAAAACACAACGCGAGUGUUGCAUUGAAGUUCCUCUGCAACAGUUCGUAUAUUUCUAUCCUCUCCCUUCCCCCAAAGUCCGAGAGCAGAGCAAAGUGAACGCUCACAACACCGAGGGACAGAGGCUGCUCCCGGCUCUGUCUCUUCAGGACGUGUCCUCUCUAUCCACCCUCCUCCUUCAACACUUUCCAGCACCGCUUUAUCCACUGACAGCUGUGUGUUUGGGGAUGAGGACUAUCUCUCACAUAGCACAAAGGGAUUACUGCAAUACAAGUCCCACCAUUGCAGAGAAUUCUUGUUGUUUUCCAAUCAGCUUUUAGUUAAUGUACUACACGCACCUGUUAUUUUUUCUUUUGCCCUUUUAAAACUGAUAUUUUAUAUAAAACUCCCGAACUCCAGAGGAACUGGCAGCGCUUCACAAACCACAACCUGAGUCUUUCCAAGCGGUGAGAACUCCAAUCUCAAUCCAGAAGAACAGUCGAGCACAGGCCCAGCUCCAAGCACCUGCAUCUAUGGGCUUGACAGCUCCUGUCCUUCCCCAGAGAGACACAAAGAGCAUGCUUCGCUACAACAGAGGCCAGGAAAGAGCUAAAAGCUCUGCAUGAAAGAGGCCAGGAAAACCAAGGAGAGUAGAAAGAUACGGUUUUAUUAUCAUUUGAAAGAGUCCUAUUGUAAAGUGAGCGCGACUCAGCUUUCCUAGAAGGGCUGAACUGCAUUGGCUCUGACUGUGGAGCCUACAAAGUGAGAACGGAGCAAAUAUGAGAGCUGCCUGCCGAGCUACCAUCACAAAGAAGACUUAAGCAUAAUGGCAAAUAAGCUAUAAACAGCAGAAGAUUACAAGUCUGCCUAUCGGAAAGGGAGGACCUGGAAGAGCCUUUCUGUGGGAACACUGGAGACAAAACCAAACCAACCGGACCUUGCUAUGUGUUACAUGAUGUGAUGCACGAAACAGCAGAGGAAUGAAUCUGGUGACUCAGCCCUAUUU
RNAcentral lists this long non-coding RNA (11692 nucleotides) under Gallus gallus (chicken). The record is from RNAcentral. Lineage: Eukaryota; Metazoa; Chordata; Aves; Galliformes; Phasianidae.